This 476-nucleotide ribosomal RNA is filed under the name uncultured bacterium. RNAcentral's name for it is "partial 16S ribosomal RNA". It matches the Rfam family "Bacterial small subunit ribosomal RNA", at positions 28 to 523 of the family's 1533-position model. The record is from RNAcentral.
GAUGAACGCUGGCGGCGUGCUUAACACAUGCAAGUCGAGCGAGUGAGUUCUUCGGAACGAUCUAGCGGCGGACGGGUGAGUAACACGUGGGCAACCUGCCUCAUAGCGGGGAAUAGCCUCCCGAAAGGGAGAUUAAUACCGCAUAAAAUUAUCGAGUGGCAUCACAUGAUAAUCAAAGGAGUAAUCCGCGAUGAGAUGGGCCCGCGGAGCAUUAGCUAGUUGGUGAGGUAACGGCUCACCAAGGCGACGACGCGUAGCCGACCUGAGAGGGUGAUCGGCCACAUUGGGACUGGGACACGGACCAGAAUCCUACGGGAGGCAGCAGUGGGGAAUAUUGCACAAGGGGGGAAAGCCUGAUGCAGCAACGCCGCGGGAGUGGUGAAGGUCUUCGGAUUGUAAAGCGCUGUCUUGGGGGACGAUAAUGACGGUACCCAAGGAGGAAGCCACGGCUAACUACGUGCCAGCAGCCGCCGUAA